AGUUGAUCCUGGCUCAGGAUGAACGCUAGCUACAGGCUUAACACAUGCAAGUCGAGGGGCAGCAUGGAGUUGCUUGCAAACUCUGAUGGCGACCGGCGCACGGGUGAGUAACGCGUAUCCAACCUUCCCUAUAGUAGAGGAUAGCCCGGCGAAAGUCGGAUUAAUACUCUAUGUUUUCCGUUGCAGACAUCUAAGAUGGAACAAAGGCUUGCCGCUAUAGGAUGGGGAUGCGUCUGAUUAGGUAGUCGGCGGGUAACGGCCCACCGAGCCAUCGAUCAGUAGGGGUUCUGAGAGGAAGGUCCCCCACAUUGGAACUGAGACACGGUCCAAACUCCUACGGGAGGCAGCAGUGAGGAAUAUUGGUCAAUGGACGAGAGUCUGAACCAGCCAAGUAGCGUGCAGGACGACGGCCCUAUGGGUUGUAAACUGCUUUUAUGCGGGGAUAAAGUUCACUACGUGUAGUGUUUUGUAGGUACCGCAUGAAUAAGGACCGGCUAAUUCCGUGCCAGCCGCUGC
This 516-nucleotide ribosomal RNA is filed under the name uncultured bacterium. RNAcentral describes it as "bacterial SSU rRNA". It matches the Rfam family "Bacterial small subunit ribosomal RNA", at positions 10 to 518 of the family's 1533-position model. The record is from RNAcentral.